CUGGCAACUACUGAAGAUCAGCUGAGACAUGUACCCUCAUGGAUGAACAACACUGGGUUCCUGGACCUUCCAUACACAGACAUGUCAGCUCCUGGCAGCAUCCUGUACCUUCUCCAAUAAGAUAGAUGGCCAUGAAAGAACUUCCACCUGGAAGCUUAUGGAAAGGCUGGCCAUGAAGUGAAAUGCUGAGAUCCUGUCCAGACUGUGAAUAAGUGGAAUACUGAGGACCGAUUGCCCCAUACUGCAAAGUCAAGCUGUCUUACAGAUAACUACAGGAUCCUGGGAAAAGUUUUGAUACUGCAUCAAGAAAUCUGGUCUGAUGAAACUAACAAUCUCAAGACCCCAGCUAUUUUCUGAGCAUAUUUUGCAGAUGUGUUGUUCCCACCUGACCUUCAGAGAAACAGCAGAUGACAUGCUUUUAUACUCCUGAUUUGGCAUGCCAUUUUCCACCAAGCUCCUGGAACACCACUGCUGCAACCUGCCUCCUCAGCUCCCUUGAGGAAUGUUCUUGAUUUCUUCCACCAUGUGUGACUCCCGGUUCCCCCUUCCCACUUCACCCCUUGUCAGCUUGAAGAAGCAUCGAGAAUACAGCACCCUUGUUCCCCCACUUGCUCCCAUAA
Molecule: non-coding RNA, 620 nt
Organism: Peromyscus maniculatus bairdii (prairie deer mouse)
Lineage: Eukaryota; Metazoa; Chordata; Mammalia; Rodentia; Cricetidae
Source: RefSeq, a predicted model, not a curated record